UUGCUUCAGCUGCACAUAUGAUUAACACUGGAACAAUACAGAGAAGAGGAGCAUGGCCCCCAGGCAAGGAGGACACACAGACUCGUGAAGUGUUCCACACUUUC
Small nuclear RNA from Budorcas taxicolor (takin), 104 nucleotides. The record is from RefSeq and is a predicted model, not a curated record. NCBI's taxonomy places the organism in Eukaryota, Metazoa, Chordata, Mammalia, Artiodactyla, Bovidae.